GACGAACGCUGGCGGCGCGCCUAACACAUGCAAGUCGAACGGAGCUAUUUUGAUAGAUCCCUUCGGGGUGACAUUGGCUUAGCUUAGUGGCGAACCGGUGAGUAACACGUGAGGAACCUGCCCUUCAGAGGGGGACAACAGUUGGAAACGACUGCUAAUACCGCAUAAGACCACAGAGCCGCAUGGCUCAGGGGUCAAAGGAGAAAUCCGCUGAAGGAUGGCCUCGCGUCCGAUUAGCUAGAUGGCGGGGUAACGGCCCACCAUGGCGACGAUCGGUAGCCGGACUGAGAGGUUGAUCGGCCACAUUGGAACUGAGAUACGGUCCAA
This 327-nucleotide ribosomal RNA is filed under the name uncultured bacterium. RNAcentral's name for it is "bacterial SSU rRNA". It matches the Rfam family "Bacterial small subunit ribosomal RNA", at positions 28 to 334 of the family's 1533-position model. The record is from RNAcentral.